This 466-nucleotide ribosomal RNA is filed under the name uncultured bacterium. RNAcentral's name for it is "partial 16S ribosomal RNA". The stretch from base 57 to 466 matches the Rfam family "Bacterial small subunit ribosomal RNA", at positions 39 to 507 of the family's 1533-position model. The record is from RNAcentral.
GGGGGGGGGGGGGGGGGGGGGGGGGGGGGGGGGGGCGGGGGGUGGGGCGGGGCUGGGGGGGGGGCUGAGUGGCGAAGGGGGGGGUGGGGCGGGGGGCGGCGGCCCUUGACCCUGGGAUACGGCUGGGAAAGUGGGUCUGAUACCGGACAGGCGCGUCCGCCGCCUGGUGGGUGUUGGAGAGCUUUCUCGGCUGUGGAUGGACUAGCGGCCUAUCAGCUUGUUCGUGAGGUGAUGGCUCACCAAGGCGACGACGGGUAGCCGGCCUGAGAGGGGGACGAGCAACACUGGGACUGAGACACGGCCCAGACUGCUACGGGAGGCAGCAGUGGGGAAUAUUGCACAAUGGGCGAAAGCCUGAUGCAGCGACGCCGCGUGAGGGAUGACGGCCUUCGGGUUGUAAACCUCUUUCAGUAGGGAAGAAGCGAAAGUGACGGUACCUGCAGAAGAAGCACCGGCUAACUACGUG